This is a long non-coding RNA of Anas platyrhynchos (mallard), 3058 nucleotides long. RefSeq lists it as uncharacterized. NCBI's taxonomy places the organism in Eukaryota, Metazoa, Chordata, Aves, Anseriformes, Anatidae. The record is from RefSeq and is a predicted model, not a curated record.
AGCACUUCUCAGCUGUCAGUGCUCCCCAGCUGCAGGCCAUGGGGUGAGCUUGUGAGAAAACUGCUUACACCUGAGAAUAAGCUCCCUCACAUUGAAAGGUGUGGAAAUGGGCAGUGAAGUGAUGGCAAGAAGCCAUCUUGCACCACUCCUUGUAAGUUGCUUGAAAAUGGAGCCAUUUGUCACCCACAAAACAGAGGAGACAGCAAAAUGAGGACGUACAGCCCUCUGCUCCUCUGAAGCACGGCUGGAUACAGCACACUGCGAACAGCACUCCAGCCAGCCCCCGCGUGCUACCAGCUGUGAGAGAGGGCAGCAGCUGCACCUCUCAGCCAUACAGCAACUGCAGCAGGCCCUGAAAAAUAAAAUUUUAUAACUCCCACUGACAAGAAUUAAUCCAGGACAGUUUCUGCUUCUAGCGUGCAUAAAUGUUCCUCUUCAAAACCAGCUUUUCGGCAAGCCUAUCAGCCUGGAAGGUGUUCAAAUGAUUAAUUUUUCGAAGACUGAUGGUGCUAGGAAUCCAGGAGAUAGUGGUAUGGGUAUCAUCUCAUCUCAAGUAUGAAGCUUGUACCUGUAUUGUAAGAAGGGAGAGUUCUGGGAGACUAUGGAAAUUUUAAUAGUUUUUUUUUUUUUUUUCCCUGCUCCUGUAGUUCCCUGAGCCAGAUAAGCCUCUGAGGCUUUUCAAAUCUCAGACAGCUUCUGGUGUUAUAAGUACUUCUUAAUCACAUAUUUUGGAGAGGCUAUAAUGGCCCAGUGAUUUCCUAGGUUUGUAGGCCAGAAGGCAUCGCUAUGAUCAUCUACUCUGACCUCCCCUAGAGAUGCAGGAAUCGCAGGGUGAAAUUCUAUUAAAUGGAUUAAACAGUAAAUGUAAAAUUAAAAUGAUUAUCAGUUUUGAUAUUUUUUUCUUGGUACUGGACCAGGACUUAAGGUAGUGAGGUUGCACGAUGCAAAAUUGCUCAAUUUCCAUGUUUUUUUCUUAUACUGUGUUGCAGAAGAGAAGCCUUCUUCCUUACCAUUUAGCAAGCAUUGGCUUUUUUUUUUUUUUUUUUUGGCUUCUACUUCGAUAUGGAAAUGUAAUCUUGUUGGUGGGUAUUAGGAUAUCUGUGCUUUAGCAACAGCUCUGUGAGAUCAUCCCUCUCGUGGCCCUGCUUACAGCCUGGGAUAUCGCAUGAACACAACACAUCACUUACCAAAGAUGACAGAGGGCACAUGUACAGUUUCUUUAAGAUCCCAGAGUAUAUCUGAUGCCUACAUUGUAUCUGCCAGCUUGUGUAAGACUGAUAUUAACACCAGUGUAAAACUGAAUGUGUCCCAGCAUUGGGGCCAGGAUCACUUAGGUUACCUGUGAGCCACAAAAACAGAGCAGUCCUGGAAGCACCUUGUCAUGUCCCAGCAUAAUGAUCACCUUUUUUGAGCCCCCUGGUUCUUUUCACCUACUGUUUACUCUGGAAAGGAUCAGAUAUCAUCACUCUUCCCAUUACCUUUGUGGUAGGUUUUGUUUGUUUGUUUGUUUGUUUGGCAGUGCAAUAGGUCAUGCACAGCAGCUUAGGUGCAGCUGUUAAGCUGGUUGCUUUAAAGCAAAUGGUACCAAUCUAGUAUUAUGAUAGUCAUAAGGUAAAAGUAACUCUCAGAUGAACAUAGCCUGAAUUCCAGUAAAAGUGAAGUCAAUACCAGGGCAACUUAAAGUAUAGUAUUUGCUUCUCCUGCAAUUGAUUGUGCAUUUUCUGCCCCUCCUGGCUUAGCAGAGGUGAUUUACAGCCAACGAUUCACGUUGCAGAGAGGAUCCACUCUAAUUCAGCAAAGAGAUUCAUCAGGAAAGAUCUGAAGAGUGACCCCAGAGUUACUGGGUUUUGUGAAUCUCUCUGAAACUGCUGUGGAAAAAUGAGCUUCCUGAUGGUGUUACUCCAUGGAUUCAGACAGCCUAGAAACAAAGAUGACUUUGGUUUUGCCCUGGUUGAUGGAGUAGCAUGUGAUAUAGUGCAGAAGGAGUCUGUGCUGCUCUGGCUUCCCCUCAGGUGCCCGCUUCCAAAAUACCCAUGGGCUUCAUCAUCUGAUUUAAUACAUUUCCUUCAGCAACACCAAUAUUGUGUGUAUAUCUACCAAGAGAUGCAAAACGUGCUGGAAUUGCAAGAGGUGCUCACUUGAAUAAUCACUUAGGCUAAUGCAAAAAGGGUUAUGAAUUAACAGGCUGGAAGAGUAAACAAGAUUAGAGCUAAGUGCUUUUUGGGGCUGUGUAAAAAAUAAUCAAAGGCUAAUUGCAAAGGAGUGGGUGAGGCAAGCCCAUAAAUUAGCAGGGGUGAGAGUGGAAAAUGGAGAGGCCAGGUAGUAGGGUGGUCAGGUAAAACAAGCAGUGAAGGACAGAGGGCGAAAGAGACGGUGCUGAAGGGUCCAACAAGCAGGAAAGAUAUCAAACAUCCUUCCACAGUCCUCAGACAGUUUGAGGAGCAGUGACUUUCAUAAAGCUCUCUAUAGUGCAAACUGGAGAGCCAAUGACAAAAGCAUUGAUGUUCUGUAUUUUCCUGCUCCUGGUACUCAGCUUCCUGUGGUGUCAGCAGAAGGUGUACAGAGAGAGGAACAACCCAGCAGGGCCAGCCCAGCGCAUGGAUGGAGGAUGAUGGAAGAAGUGCAUGAACCUCCCUUUUAAUUGUUAUUUUAUUGAAAGACGCAAUAUACUGUAUUGGCGGUGGAGAAAAAGUGAAGUAAAAAAGGUGUCCGUUCUUGCAAAAGCAUCUCUUAACCUUGAUCAAAUGGGAUCCUUUGACACCCGCACUGCCGAACCCAGAACCUUUCAUGCCAGCAAGAGAAGCCACCAAGGUGAGAACAGAGUGGACUGAUAACAACGGGAGUGCCACCUCAGCACCAUUCAAAGGUAGCAUAGUCUGUGCUAAAAGGUUUGCGGUCUCACUAAGACCUUUGCUCACUCCUCAUUCCAAUGUGCGGAUGCGACUCAUGAAAUGGCUGAACCUCUAGCAAAAACUCAGAGAUACAGCCAUAUUCUGGACAAUUUAUUACAGUCUUUGCUUGAUUCCUGAUUAAAAUGAAGUGGUGGGGUCCUAACGGA